GGUACCGUCAAAUUCCAGUGGUAUUGGCACUGAAAUAUUUCUUUCCACCUAACAGAGCUUUACGACUCGAAAGCCUUCAUCGCUCACGCGGCGUCACUGCGUCAGGGUUUCCCCCAUUGCGCAAUAUUCCUCA
Molecule: ribosomal RNA, 133 nt
Filed under: uncultured bacterium
Lineage: Bacteria
Description: partial 16S ribosomal RNA
Source: RNAcentral